GAUGAACGCUGGCGGCGUGCUUAACACAUGCAAGUCGAACGGAAAGGCUCCUGCCUGUAGGGGUACUCGAGUGGCGAACGGGUGAGUAACACGUGGGUGACCUGCCCUGUACUUCGGGAUAAGCUUGGGAAACUGGGUCUAAUAUCGGAUAUGACAAGCCCUUGGAUGGGGUUGUGGAAAGCUUUUGCGGUAUGGGAUGGGCUGGCGGCUUAUCAGCUUGUGGGUGGGGUAGUGGCCUACCAAGACGUCGACGGGUAGCCGGCCUGAGAGGGGGUACGGGCACAUUGGGACUGAGAGACGGCGCAGAGUCGUACGUGAGGCAGCAGUGGGGAGUAUUGCACAAUGGGCGCGAGCCUGAUACGGCGGCGCCGGGUGUGGGAUGACGGCCUUCGGGGUGUAAACUCCUUUCGCAUACGACGAAGCUUUUGUGACGGUAGGUAGAGAAGAAGCACCGGCUAACUACGUG
Molecule: ribosomal RNA, 466 nt
Filed under: uncultured bacterium
Lineage: Bacteria
Description: partial 16S ribosomal RNA
Rfam family: Bacterial small subunit ribosomal RNA
Source: RNAcentral